Molecule: non-coding RNA, 74 nt
Filed under: chicken gut metagenome
Source: RNAcentral
UCUAGGGGUGGCUUUUAGCCUGAGAUUAUACCCGUCAACCUGAUCCGGAUAAUACCGGCGUAGGGAGCGACAAG